ACAAAUACAUGUCAGAUGUAUCGGUCAUAAGACUUUAAUUCGGUAUUUAAAAAUAACUCAGUAAAAUAUAAAACCGGAGGGUUUUGUGGUGGUUGUUGUUAGCUUGAUUUAAAAGCUUUUUUUAAAAAUUAUUUACCAACUAUUUUUGAGUGCGAUAUCAAUGAUUUACACCAAAUAAAUGUAAGAAAAAUUAAGAUGUAUUUUCUUUUCUGAUUACAUGCCAAACUGUUCUGUAAACGUUUUAAUAUUUUUGAUUGAAAUAAUAAAAAUAAGGACGGAUCCCACAAAAACCCAAGAAGAAGGAUAAGCUGACGUCAUCGUAUGCGACACUUACACUCCGGUGAGUAGAAACCUGCAUCUGUCAAAAUGUUUUUGUACUCUAAAACCAAAAAUAACUCCAAAGUGUGAUGUUAUAAAGUUACUGAUGGUAGUUUUAGGACUUAAUGGCAGUAAAAUUGUGAGGCGAAUAGUUGAAGACACGUUUGUAACAUUUUUUUUGCCGGAGGUGGAAGCUAGCUAAAUUAGCCUCUCGGAGGCUAAUUGUACCUGUACACUCGACCUGUGCUUAAUACGUUUAAUUAGCCAUGACAGAGUUACAUAAUAGUGUUUAUAGUUAUGCUUGUUGUUGCCACUUUGUACAAUUGGAGGGUUGCUAAAAACAUCAGUGCCCCUAGGUUGUGAUGAUCUUUAAAGUUUAGUUUAUAAACCCUGUCUGAAUACAUUCUGAAUACAUGAAGAGAAGUAAAGAGCUGAGAACCUGAUCUUUGAACAGACAGAGACCAUAGGCCAGGAGCAGCCUGGGAUGCUUACUGAGGACUAUCCAAUGAUGAUACCAGAGAACCAGGAAGAGACUGUGAUAGUGAUGAUCUGGUUCCUGUUUCUCCUCCUGUUGUCCCAUCCUCUCAGUCUUUUCAGAAGAAGAAAAGACCCAGAAGUACCUCUCCAGCUGCCUCUCCCCCAGCUCUGUCAUCUGUCUCCCCCCAUAGAUCAGCCACAUCUGCAUUCAUGUCACCUGCUGACCAUACCGUCUCCUUAAGUCAGGGUGGCCGAUAAGAAGAGAAAGCAUAAGUUUUGUUUUCUUUACAUUCAUGCAUCCAAUAUGUCAACCUCUUUAGCACGAUUCGUACCUUUGGAGAUCCCAGUUAGAAUUUGUGAUUGUCUAUCAGAGUGUUUGAGGAUCAAACCAGGACAGGCAGUCACUGUGGUAAUGCUCAAUGGUAUGAAUAACAAUUCUUUGAAUGACUCAAAACCAAAAUAUAAAAAACUAUAUUAUCAAAAUUUAAAUAACUAUCUACUUUGGCUGUGUGAGUACUUUGACGUACAUAUCCCAGAAGGGCCUUCUGACUCCAUUCUUGAGUGGUUAUGUUCUUCAACAUUUUAGUGUAAUUGGUUAAACACACUUGAAUCAAAUGGCUGAGGUACCACCUCAUUCAUUCAGCAUUCAGAUCAAACGAAGUCCUGGUAACAUCAAAAUUAAUUGAGUGAGAUGUUUUGUGCCAGAGAAACACCUAAAACUUGAAAGACACCUACUCUUAAUGCCUGGUAUUUGGACACCUAUGUCCUAUUUUAUGUUUUCUUUUUUAAUCUCUCAUUUUAAAUCGGACAGGUAAGAUCUCGGCAAACAGCUUCCUGAAAAGAUUUUUGAGUGGGAAGCCAUAAAAUAUGAGUUGGAUAAAAUAUUAAGGAAGGAUCCCUUCAAGUGUCAAGCUUGUACCUCAGAUGUGCUUUGAGUUUCAGUGGAUGGAACACUGUGGAUAAAACACUUCCCAUUUGGAAACACCAUUUAAAGAAUGCAGCAAGAUUGGAGUAACAGGCUAUAUUUCAGGACCUUUUCAUAGCCAAGGAAAAUUUGUGGACUGUAUACACAAAUCAACCAAAAAUAUUUUGUGGUGGGCAAUGGUCAGCAGCCAGGGAGAUCUCUCUCAGAUCCAGAAGCAAACUGGAUGAGGAGGCUUGGAGCUAGCGCAUGCAAGUACUGGCCAUAUCUUGAAAACUAACAAAAAGCUGUCCUGAGCUCCAACACCUGCAUAAAAUGAAGCAAUUUCUCUCAAUUUUCCAUGGCAAAGCCCAUGAAUACACAUAUGGACACAAAGCUUGUGCCAAGGCUCAUCGCAAGAUCAGAAAGGAGAAAACAUCUUAGCAUUGGCUUUAGAAGAUGUUGGUCACUUGAAGACUGAUACAGACACAGAAGUUCUGUCUUUGGAAGAGAUCCUGUCUGGUGACACAACAUUGCCAUGGCAGCAAUCACACAGUGACUCUGUCAGACAAAAACAAGGGCAAUCAAUGACAUCAUGAUAGUAAAGACACUGGAAGAGGAAAAGAGGACUCUGGUUGAUGGACCAUCAUUGGAAAUCUCUGUCAUCCUAUCAAAAGGAGUUUCCCGCCUGUUAUCGGGAGGUAAAUUUAAAAGUUUGUCCUGUGCCCUAACUGACGAAGGUCCAAGAGGUCUCCAGAGCAUCAUCCUCAGAGAGCUGCAGCACCAAUGGAUGAAGCUGCAGGCAACAGAGUAUUAUCUACAGCAGGGGAGCCCAAAGUGGGUCCUGGAGGGCCGACAUCCUGCAUGUUUUAGUUCUCUCCCUUGUUUAACACACCUGCAUCAA
This is a non-coding RNA of Poecilia reticulata (guppy), 2600 nucleotides long. NCBI's taxonomy places the organism in Eukaryota, Metazoa, Chordata, Actinopteri, Cyprinodontiformes, Poeciliidae. The record is from RefSeq and is a predicted model, not a curated record.